RNAcentral lists this unclassified non-coding RNA (334 nucleotides) under Hevea brasiliensis (rubber tree). Lineage: Eukaryota; Viridiplantae; Streptophyta; Magnoliopsida; Malpighiales; Euphorbiaceae. The record is from RNAcentral.
GGAAGGUACAAACACAAAAGCAAAUCCAUGGCCAGGGAGGAGAUUCUUGUACGGGGCAAUGGAGAAAAUGAAAGAGGUGGAGAAAGGAAGUAUUGUAGAUGAGUUGAGCAAUUUAGUGGCGAUUUUUGAAGGGUACAAAGCUCGUCCAAUGGAGAAAGUGGCGUCAUUGGUGAGAGCAAGGAUUGAAGAUUGGACUGUGGCGUUGCCGUAAGUGAGAAGAUUGGUGGAGUUGAAGUUGGUGUUGAAGACAAAUUCAAGAGGUGAUAUUGGGUUGAACAGGGAAAGUAUAAUUGUGGAGAAGAGGAGGACGAUGGUUUGUGGAGACAUGACAGAG